Non-coding RNA from Mycena latifolia, 100 nucleotides. Lineage: Eukaryota; Fungi; Basidiomycota; Agaricomycetes; Agaricales; Mycenaceae. The record is from the annotation of a GenBank genome assembly.
GGUCUGAUGGUGUAGCGGCAACACGCCUGCUUGUCUUAAAAUAGCAUACGGGUGCAAAUGUUUCAGCGGGAGAAACCUUGUUCAAUUCAAGGCUAGGCCG